RNAcentral lists this ribosomal RNA (513 nucleotides) under uncultured bacterium. RNAcentral describes it as "partial 16S ribosomal RNA". It matches the Rfam family "Bacterial small subunit ribosomal RNA", at positions 28 to 507 of the family's 1533-position model. The record is from RNAcentral.
GACGAACGCUGGCGGCGUGCUUAACACAUGCAAGUCGAACGAGAGCGUAGAGAAAGCUUGCUUUUUCUACAAUCUAGUGGCAAACGGGUGAGUAACGCGUAAACAACCUGCCCUACGGAUGGGGACAACAGCUGGAAACGGCUGCUAAUACCGAAUACGUUCCGAAAGUCGCAUGACUAUCGGAAGAAAGGAUGGCCUCUAUUUAUAAGCUAUCGCCGGAGGAGGGGUUUGCGUCUGAUUAGCUAGUUGGAGGGGUAACGGCCCACCAAGGCGACGAUCAGUAGCCGGUCUGAGAGGAUGACCGGCCACAUUGGAACUGAGACACGGUCCAGACUCCUACGGGAGGCAGCAGUGGGGAAUCUUCCGCAAUGGGCGAAAGCCUGACGGAGCAACGCCGCGUGAGUGAAGACGGCCUUCGGGUUGUAAAGCUCUGUUAUACGGGACGAAUAAUCUUGUGGUUAAUACCCAUGAGAAGUGACGGUACCGUAAGAGAAAGCCACGGCUAACUACGUG